The sequence is a regulatory RNA element, 55 nucleotides long. It matches the Rfam family "Bovine leukaemia virus RNA packaging signal". The record is from Rfam.
AUGGGAAAUUCCCCCUCCUAUAACCCCCCCGCUGGUAUCUCCCCCUCAGACUGGC